Molecule: unclassified non-coding RNA, 251 nt
Filed under: Glomus sp.
Lineage: Eukaryota; Fungi; Glomeromycota; Glomeromycetes; Glomerales; Glomeraceae
Description: partial contains 5.8S ribosomal RNA and internal transcribed spacer 2
Rfam family: 5.8S ribosomal RNA (bases 1-71)
Source: RNAcentral
GUGAAUCAUCGAAUCUUUGAACGCAAAUUGCACUCUCUGGUAUUCCGGAGCGUGUGUCUGUUUGAGGGUCAGUUAAAAUAAAAAUCGGUGUGGUUGCUGCGUUUCGUGCUGACGCACUGGAUUUGUGUUGUAUUGUCUUCGGUUAAGUGACCUAAAAUUUUGCUUGAUUUUUUCGAACGUAUUUUAAUGAUUUUAUGUACGUUUGUGAUAUCGAAUACUAUGUGUGGUCAUCUUCAUGAUUCGCGUCUUUA